ACUUGAAUUUGGGUUUUAACUUAGGUUUGGGUGGCGGACGGGUGAGUAACGCGUAAAGAACUUGCCUCACAGCUAGGGACAACAUUUAGAAAUGAAUGCUAAUACCUAAUAUUAUGAUAAUAGGGCAUCCUAUAAUUAUGAAAGCUAUAUGCGCUGUGAGAGAGCUUUGCGUCCCAUUAGCUAGUUGGAGAGGUAACGGCUCACCAAGGCGAUGAUGGGUAGCCGGCCUGAGAGGGUGAUCGGCCACAAGGGGACUGAGACACGGCCCUUACUCCUACGGGAGGCAGCAGUGGGGAAUAUUGGACAAUGGACCGAGAGUCUGAUCCAGCAAUUCUGUGUGCACGAUGAAGUUUUUCGGAAUGUAAAGUGCUUUCAGUUGGGAAGAAAGAAAUGACGGUACCAACAGAAGAAGUGACGGCUAAAUACGUGCCAGCAGCCGCGGUAAUACGUAUGUCACGAGCGUUAUCCGGAUUUAUUGGGCGUAAAGCGCGUCUAGGUGGUUAUAUAAGUCUGAUGUGAAAAUGCAGGGCUCAACUCUGUAUUGCGUUGGAAACUGUAUAACUAGAGUACUGGAGAGGUAAGCGGAACUACAAGUGUAGAGGUGAAAUUCGUAGAUAUUUGUAGGAAUGCCGAUGGGGAAGCCAGCUUACUGGACAGAUACUGACGCUGAAGCGCGAAAGCGUGGGUAGCAAACAGGAUUAGAUACCCUGGUAGUCCACGCUGUAAACGAUGAUUACUAGGUGUUGGGGGUCGAACCUCAGCGCCCAGCAAACGCGA
RNAcentral lists this ribosomal RNA (777 nucleotides) under uncultured Fusobacteriota bacterium. RNAcentral's name for it is "bacterial SSU rRNA". It matches the Rfam family "Bacterial small subunit ribosomal RNA", at positions 66 to 860 of the family's 1533-position model. Lineage: Bacteria; Fusobacteriati; Fusobacteriota. The record is from RNAcentral.